AUACCUUUCUCGGCCUUUUGGCUAAGAUCAAGUGUAAUAUCUGUUCUUAUCAGUUUAAUAUCUGAUAUGUGGGAGUAAGCCCACUAAGAUAGCUUGCUAUCUGAGUUUUCGCGAGUCGCCCAUGCGUUGCACUAUUGCAUGGGUCUGGCUCAGCCCAC
RNAcentral lists this small nuclear RNA (158 nucleotides) under Eutrema salsugineum. Its description in RNAcentral is "U2 spliceosomal RNA". It matches the Rfam family "U2 spliceosomal RNA". Rfam says of the family: U2 is a small nuclear RNA (snRNA) component of the spliceosome (involved in pre-mRNA splicing). Complementary binding between U2 snRNA (in an area lying towards the 5' end but 3' to hairpin I) and the branchpoint sequence (BPS) of the intron results the bulging out of an unpaired adenosine, on the BPS, which initiates a nucleophilic attack at the intronic 5' splice site, thus starting the first of two transesterification reactions that mediate splicing. Lineage: Eukaryota; Viridiplantae; Streptophyta; Magnoliopsida; Brassicales; Brassicaceae. The record is from Rfam by way of RNAcentral.